GCCGUGGCAGUUCAGUACUAGAAUUCUUGCCUUCUAUGCAGGAGACCAGGUUCGAUUCCUGGCCAAUGCA
This 70-nucleotide transfer RNA is filed under the name Loxodonta africana (African savanna elephant). It matches the Rfam family "tRNA". Rfam says of the family: Transfer RNA (tRNA) molecules are approximately 80 nucleotides in length. Their secondary structure includes four short double-helical elements and three loops (D, anti-codon, and T loops). Further hydrogen bonds mediate the characteristic L-shaped molecular structure. tRNAs have two regions of fundamental functional importance: the anti-codon, which is responsible for specific mRNA codon recognition, and the 3' end, to which the tRNAs corresponding amino acid is attached (by aminoacyl-tRNA synthetases). tRNAs cope with the degeneracy of the genetic code in two manners: having more than one tRNA (with a specific anti-codon) for a particular amino acid; and 'wobble' base-pairing, i.e. permitting non-standard base-pairing at the 3rd anti-codon position. The record is from Rfam by way of RNAcentral. Lineage: Eukaryota; Metazoa; Chordata; Mammalia; Proboscidea; Elephantidae.